UGAUACUAAGCCAUGCGAGUCAUUGUAGUAAUACAAGGCAGACGGCUCAGUAACGCGUAGUCAACCUAACCUAUGGACGGGGAUAACCUCGGGAAACUGAGAAUAAUACCCGAUAGAACAUUAUGCCUGGAAUGGUUUAUGUUUCAAAUAAUUUAUUGCCGUAGGAUGGGACUGCGGCCUAUCAGUUUGUUGGUGAGGUAAUGGCCCACCAAGACUAUUACAGGUACGGGCUCUGAGAGGAGUAGCCCGGAGAUGGGUACUGAGACACGGACCCAGGCCCUAUGGGGCGCAGCAGGCGAGAAAACUUUGCAAUGUGCGAAAGCACGACAAGGUUAAUCCGAGUGGUUUCUGCUAAAGGAACCUUUUGCCAGUCCUAGAAACACUGGUGAGUAAGGGGUGGGCAAGUUCUGGUGUCAGCCGCCGCGGUAAAACCAGCACCUCAAGUGGUCAGGAUGAUUAUUGGGCCUAAAGCAUCCGUAGCCUGCUUUGUUAGUUUUCGGUUAAAUCCAUUCGCUCAACGAAUGGGCUGCCGGGAAUACUGCAAAGCUAGGGAGUGGGAGAGGUAGACGGUACUCGGUAGGAAGGGGUAAAAUCCUUUGAUCUAUUGAUGACCACCUGUGGCGAAGGCGGUCUACCAGAACACGUCCGACGGUGAGGGAUGAAAGCUGGGGGAGCAAACCGGAUUAGAUACCCGGGUAGUCCCAGCUGUAAACUAUGCAAACUCAGUGAUGCAUUGGCUUGAUGCCAAUGCAGUGCUGCAGGGAAGCCGUUAAGUUUGCCGCCUGGGAAGUACGUACGCAAGUAUGAAACUUAAAGGAAUUGGCGGGGGAGCACCACAAGGGGUGAAGCCUGCG
Molecule: ribosomal RNA, 854 nt
Filed under: uncultured archaeon
Lineage: Archaea
Description: bacterial SSU rRNA
Rfam family: Archaeal small subunit ribosomal RNA
Source: RNAcentral